UACGGAGGGUGCGAGCGUUGUCCGGAAUCAUUGGGCGUAAAGGGCGCGUAGGCGGCCGUCCCAAGCGUGCGGUGAAAGUCAGGGGCUCAACCCCUGAUCGGCCGUGCGAACUGGGGGGCUCGAGCACUGUAGAGGCAGGCGGAAUUCCGGGUGUAGCGGUGGAAUGCGUAGAGAUCCGGAAGAACACCGGUGGCGAAGGCGGCAUCCUGGACCGGCAUUGACGCUGAGGAGCGAAAGCUAGGGGAGCAAACGGG
Molecule: ribosomal RNA, 254 nt
Filed under: uncultured bacterium
Lineage: Bacteria
Description: partial 16S ribosomal RNA
Rfam family: Bacterial small subunit ribosomal RNA
Source: RNAcentral